CCCUGGUAGCUUAAUCUAAAGCACCGGUCUUGUAAGCCGGAGACUACAGCCUAAUCCCUGUUCAGGGCA
Molecule: transfer RNA, 69 nt
Filed under: Glandirana rugosa (Japanese wrinkled frog)
Lineage: Eukaryota; Metazoa; Chordata; Amphibia; Anura; Ranidae
Description: tRNA-Thr
Rfam family: tRNA
About the family: Transfer RNA (tRNA) molecules are approximately 80 nucleotides in length. Their secondary structure includes four short double-helical elements and three loops (D, anti-codon, and T loops). Further hydrogen bonds mediate the characteristic L-shaped molecular structure. tRNAs have two regions of fundamental functional importance: the anti-codon, which is responsible for specific mRNA codon recognition, and the 3' end, to which the tRNAs corresponding amino acid is attached (by aminoacyl-tRNA synthetases). tRNAs cope with the degeneracy of the genetic code in two manners: having more than one tRNA (with a specific anti-codon) for a particular amino acid; and 'wobble' base-pairing, i.e. permitting non-standard base-pairing at the 3rd anti-codon position.
Source: RNAcentral